Molecule: long non-coding RNA, 2677 nt
Filed under: Podarcis muralis (Common wall lizard)
Lineage: Eukaryota; Metazoa; Chordata; Lepidosauria; Squamata; Lacertidae
Description: lncRNA (ENSPMRG00000010894.1)
Source: RNAcentral
GUCACUUUCAGUCUACUCCUUUCCAUGUGUACUGCAUUUUUAAAUUAACAUUUUUAAAACAAGUAUUUCUAUACCACUACUUUAUACACGAUAACAUGGCAGUGUACAGUUUGUACAGUUAUAUAUUCAAGAAAAUAUAAAUCAACAUAAAACAAUACCAAUUAAAUUAACAUUUCUGGAUUUAUUGUCCUUUGUUCUCACAUUAGCAUCUUAAGUAUCUUAAACCUAAUUUUGUAUUCCUUGAGUAUAGCAGGCUAAAAAGUUAAUUUUGUCCUCUGCAUAAGUCUUUAGAGGUUCCUCUUUGAGGCUUCAGUGAAUUUAUCGGGGGGUACAAGUGAGAACAUGGAAUUAUUGACGGAUCAUGAAUGCUUUUUUCUAGCUGUCAUCAGGGAAAAUACAAAAGGUCAAAAUAGGUCACAUACACUAGUUUAUCAAGUGGUGGUGGAAUUACAAUGGCAUCAAAAAGGUUUCUACCCAUAAUUCAUAUUAUCUCUCUGUACUUCUUACACUAUAGGGUCCUCAAGGUGAACCAGGACCCCCUGGGCAACAAGGAAUCACAGGUCCACAAGGGCUUCCAGGUCCACAAGGCCCAAUUGGCGUUCCUGGUGAAAAAGGACCCCCGGGCAAGCCUGGUCUUGCAGGACUUGCUGGUGCUGAUGGCCCUCCCGGUCACCCAGGCAAAGAAGGACAGUCGGGAGAGAAAGGUUCCUUGGGGCCUCCAGGUCCUCAAGGCCCAAUUGGGUAUCCCGGCCCCCGUGGCGUAAAGGGCGCUGACGGUGUCCGCGGUCUCAAAGGUGGCAAAGGCGAAAAGGUAAUCUCUUUAUGGUGCUUAGUUUUUAUCGUUUAUAUUUUAGUACUAAAAGGGCUCAACUCAUUAAUGGAAAAUCUAAUUGAAAAUCAGGCACCAUGUAUAUUGAUGGUGCGAUAUAAAUAGCUACAGUGAUGAUCAUGAAAAGUAGAAGCAGAAUAAAUCUGCAAAAGACUAGGGCAGAUCAAAGUAGCUGUGCGGGUAUUUGAUUACUUUUAAAUACUUUCAGAUUUAUUUAUUUUAAGGUAUUCGUUAAAUUGUUUUGCUGUUUCGUUGUUUGUGACCCUGGGCUCCUUUAGGAGGAAGAGCAGGAUGGAAUUAUUUCAUGAACACCCUUAUUGCAAAAUAUUGUAUGAACUCUAAACCUACAUUGGCAAAGGGGCUUCCCCCUUCCUAUCCCUUCCCUACCAGUGCCCCCUGAAAUUGGCUCUGCAGGGAUCAGGAGAAGCCCCAUAAUGGUGCAUGUGGGGAGAACAGAGUGGGAUAAUUAUGUCUGGCAAGUAGCAAUGCUUUCUCUGGUGGGACGUUCACUAUAAAGGCCUGGAUAGCUCAAUUUGUUAGAAUGUGGUUGUGAUAAUGCCAAGGUUGCAGGUUUGAUCCCCAUAUGGGGCAGCUGCAUAUUUUUGCAUUGCAGGGGGUUGGACUAGAUCAGCAUUUCCCAACCUUGGGCAUCCAGCUGUUUUUGGACUACAACUCCCAUAAUCCUCAGCUAGCAAGACCAGUGGUCAGGGAUGAUGGGAAUUGUAGUUCGAAAACAGCUGGAGGCCCAAGGUUGGGAAACACUGGACAAGAUGAUCCUCAGGGUCCAAUCCAACUCUGCAAUUCUGUGAUCAUAUGAUUCUCACAGUGCAAUGUUGAAUUCCACUCUUUGAUUUUCUUGCCAAAUGUUACACAGAAUAAUAGAAUCAUAGAGUUGGGAGGGGCCACGGGGGUCACCUAGUCCAAUCCCCUGCAAUACAGGAAUAUUGUUGCCUAACAUGGGAUUCGAACCCACAACCCUAAGAUUCAGCAUCCCAUGACUGAGCUAUAUGGUUGGUCUUCAGCUCACAAUGGAAAUGCAGACAUUUCUAACUAUAGACAGCUCCUACAAACUGGAGAGGUGAAACGCUCGUGCUGUUUUCUUAACAACAGCUUACUGCCAGUCAUUCAUCUGGGACCUUCUUACAUGACAGCAAACCAUAUGACUCCACUUUAUAAAUCACUCAGAAGAAGCAGGCAAACAUUUUUGCAGGCCAUUUUGCUACAAGCUUGUUCGGCUCAGAGAUAGUGUCUUCCUCAGUAUAAAGAUGGUCCUGACACAGACCUGCCUGCACUCACCUUUCGUGGAACGAUUCGUUACCUAGGAGCAAUUUUAUCUGACCCCCGUGGCUCGAUUUCUGUUUGAGGUGUCAUAGAAAAGCUUCCCCAUUCUUUUCAUUUCUAAGGAACAGAAGUUGUUAAGAGAGAGAUUCCGCACUUUAAAACAUAGCAUCUCUCCUUGAGGGUUGUAAGUAAUGAGUCAGCUAUGCCUCAGUGCACAUCUUAUGCAAUCGUUAUUCCCUUCUUGCUAGAUGCUGCCAAAUCUAUUACAGAGCCUCAUCCCCUUGCGUGGGGAUUGUUUUGUCAGUACAGCUACCAAAAAGCUCUGUGGAGAAUGGAGCAGCUCUCAGAAUAGAGAAGCCGAUGUUCCCCAUGUGGAUCACUGGUUCUGUUGGGCUGUAGCUAACUAAACAUUGCCCAUGUGGAACAAUUUCCAUGAGUGCCGUGGAACUUCCCCUCCCCACCCAAAUGCCUUCGCAUCUGCUCAGGUGUGCUCCUCAUCCCCUCAAAAUCUGCUCCUAAGUGUAAAAUUGACUUCCAGUUUUGUGUACGGUAUUGCUUUAAGCUCCU